GAGUGUGUAACAACUCACCUGCCGAAUGAAUUAGCCCUGAAAAUGGAUGGCGCUUAAGCGGGGAGCCGACACUACGCCGUCUGAACGACGAUUGUUUUCAGAUGAGUAGGAGGACGUGGCGGUUGUAUCGAAGCGUUGGCGCAAGCCUGCGUGGAACGGCCGCUAGUGCAGAUCUUGGUGUUAGUAGCAAAUAUUCAAACGAGAACCUUGAAGGGCGAAGCGGGGAAGGGUUCCACGCGUACAUUGAUUGGGCGUGGGUGAGUCGUUCCUAAGCCGCGUGGCAAUAGCUAAUUACCGGCGAAAGGGAAGCAGGUUGAAAUUCCUGCACACGGAUGUGGACGCGGUGACGCACUUCUGGGGCAAUGACGCUGGCUUUGGCACUGGGCAGAGUUGUCUUUUCUGUUUAACCGUUUGAGUGCACUGUGUGGAAUCCGCUUGUCGGGAGAAACACGUGCAGUCGGGCAUAGCGCCGGGGUUUUUCCGGCGUCCAGUUCGCCAACGACGGACCUUGAAAAAUUGUCUGCUGGCAGCGCAUUCUUGCAAUGUGUUGUAUGAAGAACUCCACGCCGUAACGUACCGAUAACCGCAUCAGGUCCCCAAGGUGAACAGCCUCUGCUCGAUAUGAUCAAUGCAGGUAAGGGAAGUCGGCAAAAUGGACCCGUAACUUUGGGAAAAGGGUUGGCUCUAGUGCUGCGUGGGAAUUGUUGUCUCAGCUGUGGGGUCGCUGCUCGGACGGCGCCUUGGGCUGGUGGGGCUCCGGCUCUGCUGGACUGGGGAGCAGUCUGCGCUCGGCUCUGCCUGUGACGGCGCCCACGGCAUGCAGCAAACUAGAACUGCAACGGGCAAAGGGAAUCCGACUGUUUAAUUAAAACAAAGCAUUGCGAAGGCCGUGGCCGGUGUUGACGCANNNNNNNNNNNNNNNNNNNNNNNNAAUGUCAAAGUGAAGAGAUUCAAUCAAGCGCGGGUAAACAGCGGGAGUAACUAUGACUCUCUUAAGGUAGCCAAAUGCCUCGUCAUCUAAUUAGUGACGCGCAUGAAUGGAUUAACGAGAUUCCUACUGUCCCUAUCUGCUUCUAGCGAAAACACAGCCGUGGGAACGGGCACGGCAGAAAUGGCGGGGAAAGAAGACCCUGUUGAGCUUGACUCUAUUCUAAGACUGUGAAACGAGUUAGGAGGUGUAGCAUAGGUGGGAGAGCUUGCUGCUCGUCCGUGAAAUACCACUACUCUUAAUCUCGUUUUACUUACCAGGUUGGUGUGGGGCGAGUCGUGAGACUCUGUUCUGGAGCCAAUGCUGCUUGUGAAAGUGGCAGACCACCGUCUGGAACACUUUUAGGAGGGGAGUUUGGCUGGGGCGGCACAUCUUCUACAAGACAACGAAGGUGUCCAAAGAUAAGCUCAGUGAGAACAGAAAUCUCACGUAGCGCAAAAGGGUAAAAGCUUGUUUGAUUUUGAUUUCCAGUGCGAGUCGAAAACGCGAAAGCGUGGCCUAUCGAUCCUUUUGAGUUUCGAGAUUUGAAGCAAGAGGUGUCAGNAAAGUUACCACAGGGAUAACAUGGCUUGUGCGNCCAAGCGUUCAUAGCGACGUCGCUU
Molecule: ribosomal RNA, 1590 nt
Filed under: Taenioma perpusillum
Lineage: Eukaryota; Rhodophyta; Florideophyceae; Ceramiales; Delesseriaceae
Description: eukaryotic LSU rRNA
Rfam family: Eukaryotic large subunit ribosomal RNA
Source: RNAcentral